Molecule: ribosomal RNA, 253 nt
Filed under: uncultured bacterium
Lineage: Bacteria
Description: partial 16S ribosomal RNA
Rfam family: Bacterial small subunit ribosomal RNA
Source: RNAcentral
UACGAAGGGGGCUAGCGUUGUUCGGAAUCACUGGGCGUAAAGGGCGCGUAGGCGGCCGAUCAAGUCGGGGGUGAAAGCCUGUGGCUCAACCACAGAAUUGCCUUCGAUACUGUUUGGCUUGAGACCGGAAGAGGUUAGUGGAACUGCGAGUGUAGAGGUGAAAUUCGUAGAUAUUCGCAAGAACACCAGUGGCGAAGGCGGCUGACUGGUCCGGUUCUGACGCUGAGGCGCGAAAGCUAGGGGAGCAAACAGG